Molecule: unclassified non-coding RNA, 377 nt
Filed under: fungal sp.
Lineage: Eukaryota; Fungi
Description: partial internal transcribed spacer region
Rfam family: Eukaryotic small subunit ribosomal RNA (bases 1-46)
Source: RNAcentral
AAGUCGUAACAAGGUUUCCGUAGGUGAACCUGCGGAAGGAUCAUUAACACGUAUCCAAACGUUAAAACCCCCCCCCGUGAACCUGAGCCCGGAAAGUUGUAGUGAUUCAGAGACCUCUGGAUACGUGCGAACAUUGGAACAGUUACAAUCGAGCGGUAGUUCUAUAGGCAAUGUUUCCCCAAGCAGUCAGUGUCGGAAAGUGUCAUUGAUUGUGCAAGGAUAGCGCUUCUACGAUUCCUGUAGACCGUACACUCGGGCAGGAGCUUUGCCAAAGGGUCCCCAUGCCCCCUAAUAACCCCACAGUUUAAUGUGAAGCUCAAUGUAAUACAUUGGGUAAAAAAACCGAACAACUGUUAACAAUGGAUAUCUUGGUUCUC